UGUAAAUAUAUACAAUUGUGAAUGUUUGCAUGUCCAAACUUUAUAAAAAAAUUUCUUAAAUCACGACCCAUAGCCUAUACUCAAUACCUACUACCUAUAUGUGCCCACGAAAUAAAAAAAAUGUUCAAGAGCCUUGAACGGCAGAAAAAUAUCGAGCAGCAUUGGGAGGUUUAAAAAGUUAUUGGGCUCAAUGAAAAUCCACCUCAUCAAAUUGUCCGCCCC
This is a non-coding RNA of Paramuricea clavata, 222 nucleotides long. The record is from the annotation of a GenBank genome assembly. Lineage: Eukaryota; Metazoa; Cnidaria; Anthozoa; Malacalcyonacea; Plexauridae.